GUCCUACGGGGGCAGCAGUAGGGAAUCUUCCACAAUGGACGAAAGUCUGAUGGAGCAACGCCGCGUGAGUGAAGAAGGGUUUCGGCUCGUAAAGCUCUGUUGGUAGUGAAGAAAGAUAGAGGUAGUAACUGGCCUUUAUUUGACGGUAAUUACUUAGAAAGUCACGGCUAACUACGUGCCAGCAGCCGCGGUUAUUCGUAAGUGGCAAGCGUUGUCCGGAUUUAUUGGGCGUAAAGAGCGUGCAGGCGG
This 249-nucleotide ribosomal RNA is filed under the name uncultured bacterium. RNAcentral describes it as "partial 16S ribosomal RNA". It matches the Rfam family "Bacterial small subunit ribosomal RNA", at positions 335 to 578 of the family's 1533-position model. The record is from RNAcentral.